This 253-nucleotide ribosomal RNA is filed under the name uncultured bacterium. RNAcentral's name for it is "partial 16S ribosomal RNA". It matches the Rfam family "Bacterial small subunit ribosomal RNA", at positions 524 to 776 of the family's 1533-position model. The record is from RNAcentral.
UACGUAGGGUGCGAGCGUUGUCCGGAAUUAUUGGGCGUAAAGAGCUCGUAGGCGGUUUGUUGCGUCGGCCGUGAAAACCUGCAGCUUAACUGUGGGCCUGCGGCCGAUACGGGCAGACUUGAGUUCGGUAGGGGAGACUGGAAUUCCUGGUGUAGCGGUGAAAUGCGCAGAUAUCAGGAGGAACACCGAUGGCGAAGGCAGAUCUCUGGGCCGUAACUGACGCUGAGGAGCGAAAGCGUGGGGAGCGAACAGG